This 392-nucleotide ribosomal RNA is filed under the name uncultured Gammaproteobacteria bacterium. Its description in RNAcentral is "bacterial SSU rRNA". It matches the Rfam family "Bacterial small subunit ribosomal RNA", at positions 370 to 779 of the family's 1533-position model. Lineage: Bacteria; Pseudomonadati; Pseudomonadota; Gammaproteobacteria. The record is from RNAcentral.
AAUGGGCGCAAGCCUGAUCUAGCCAUGCCGCGUGAGUGAUGAAGGCCUUAGGGUCGUAAAGCUCUUUCGCCUGUGAAGAUAAUGACUGUAGCAGGUAAAGAAACCCCGGCUAACUCCGUGCCAGCAGCCGCGGUAAUACGGAGGGGGUUAGCGUUGUUCGGAAUUACUGGGCGUAAAGCGCGCGUAGGCGGACAUUUAAGUCAGAGGUGAAAUCCCAGGGCUCAACCCUGGAACUGCCUUUGAUACUGGGUGUCUUGAGUUCGAGAGAGGUGAGUGGGAUUCCGAGUGUAGAGGUGAAAUUCGUAGAUAUUCGGAGGAACACCAGUGGCGAAGGCGGCUCACUGGCUCGAUACUGACGCUGAGGUGCGAAAGUGUGGGGAGCAAACAGGAUU